GGAAUUUUGGACAAUGGGCGCAAGCCUGAUCCAGCCAUGCCGCGUGCGGGAAGAAGGCCUUCGGGUUGUAAACCGCUUUUGGCAGGAACGAAACGGCGCGAGCGAAUACCUCGCGCUAAUGACGGUACCUGCAGAAUAAGCACCGGCUAACUACGUGCCAGCAGCCGCGGUAAUACGUAGGGUGCAAGCGUUAAUCGGAAUUACUGGGCGUAAAGCGUACGCAGGCGGCUUUGCAAGACAGGUGUGAAAUCCCCGGGCCUAACCUGGGAACUGCAUUUGUGACUGCAUGGCUAGAGUCUGUCAGAGGGGGGUGGAAUUCCACGUGUAGCAGUGAAAUGCGUAGAGAUGUGGAAGAACACCGAUGGCGAAGGCAGCCCCCUGGGAUGAGACUGACGCUCAUGUACGAAAGCGUGGGGAGCAAACAGGAUUAGA
RNAcentral lists this ribosomal RNA (432 nucleotides) under uncultured bacterium. RNAcentral describes it as "bacterial SSU rRNA". It matches the Rfam family "Bacterial small subunit ribosomal RNA", at positions 358 to 782 of the family's 1533-position model. The record is from RNAcentral.